This 855-nucleotide small RNA is filed under the name Pan troglodytes (chimpanzee). Its description in RNAcentral is "retained intron". The record is from RNAcentral. Lineage: Eukaryota; Metazoa; Chordata; Mammalia; Primates; Hominidae.
AGAGGCUGGGAGCUGCGGCCGCUGUGCCAGGGUGACCGGUAGAGCUGUAGCCGAGGUGGCGGCGCGGGGCGGGGCGGGCGGAGAGAGAAGGAAGGAGGUGGUUGUGCAGGAUGGCGACGGCGGCCUACGAGCAGCUGAAGCUGCAUAUCACACCUGAAAAAUUUUAUGUGGAAGCUUGUGAUGAUGGAGCAGAUGAUGUACUUACCAUCGACCGUGUGUCCACAGAGGUUACCCUUGCAGUCAAGAAAGAUGUUCCUCCUUCAGCUGUCACAAGACCAAUAUUUGGUAUACUGGGCACAAUCCAUCUGGUGGCAGGUAAUUAUCUUAUAGUCAUUACCAAAAAGAUAAAAGUAGGUGAAUUUUUCAGUCAUGUAAUCUGGAAAGCAACAGAUUUUGAUGUCCUUUCUUAUAAGAAGACAAUGUUGCACUUAACUGAUAUUCAGGUAAGAACUGGAAAUUGUUACUAAUUGCAAAGCCCAAAGAAGUAUUAUGGGCUGGGGAGAGGAGGGUGAGGGUGUUGUGGAAUACAAAGAAUGCUAUAAUUAUUUUAACAACCUAUAGAGUAAGGUCACUCUACCUACUUUUCUACCUAGGCAUAAAAAAUAUUUUUUAAAUCAUUUGUUGCUCUUGUUUUUUUUUUUUUUAAAGAUUCAGUUCUUAAAUUAUGCAAUUUCAUAUGGAGAGAAGGGAAAACAGAAAUGCACGUGUACUCAGCACCAGAUUUAACUUCAUAUCCUCUUUGUAAAGAAAUAAAAUAUAAAUACCUUUGAAGUUCUGCUCCUCUUAACUCAUUCCCUUCUUUCCCAGAGAGGUUUUCUCUAUUUUUACCACAUGUGAAUGUAAGUGUGUAUGUGU